This 195-nucleotide unclassified non-coding RNA is filed under the name fungal sp. Its description in RNAcentral is "partial internal transcribed spacer region". The stretch from base 1 to 46 matches the Rfam family "Eukaryotic small subunit ribosomal RNA", at positions 1786 to 1831 of the family's 1831-position model. The record is from RNAcentral. Lineage: Eukaryota; Fungi.
AAGUCGUAACAAGGUAUCCGUAGGUGAACCUGCGGAUGGAUCAUUACUAAAGGACCUAUCCAACGUCCUGUGAACUGUUUUGAAAUUUUUGUCAGCGGUCUUCACCGGCUGCUGGCAUACCAUAAACGUAUAACCUAAACUGAAAUCUACUAGUAAGAACUAAGAGAACUUUUAGCAACGGAUCUCUUGGCUCUC